This 775-nucleotide ribosomal RNA is filed under the name uncultured Neocallimastigales. Its description in RNAcentral is "partial large subunit ribosomal RNA". It matches the Rfam family "Eukaryotic large subunit ribosomal RNA", at positions 26 to 614 of the family's 3401-position model. The record is from RNAcentral. Lineage: Eukaryota; Fungi; Neocallimastigomycota; Neocallimastigomycetes; Neocallimastigales.
CGCAUCUGUGCAUGCAGCAUAUCAAUAAGCGGAGGAAAAGAAACUAACAAGGAUUCCCCUAGUAACGGCGAGUGAAGCGGGAAGAGCUCAAAUUUGAAAUCUUAAAGGGUUUCCCUUUACGAAUUGUAGUUUAAAGAAGUGUUUUCUGUUGAGGUUUUGGUAAAAGUUCUUUGGAAUAGGACAUCAUAGAGGGUGAGAAUCCCGUAUUUGACCUUUACUUUCAACUUUGUGAUACACUUUCAAAGAGUCGGAUUGUUUGGGAAUGCAGUCCAAAAUGGGUGGUAAAUUUCAUCUAAAGCUAAAUAUUGGCGAGAGACCGAUAGCGAACAAGUACCGUGAGGGAAAGAUGAAAAGAACUUUGAAAAGAGAGUUAAACAGUACGUGAAAUUGUCAAAAGGGAAGCGUUUGACACCAGUGUUGUUUUUCUGAAAAUCAAUUAAAGAACUGUUUAUGCUAAGUUGUUUAGACUUUAUCAGCUAACUGUUUAGUUUUGAGCUUUUCUUUAAUGCACUUUUCAGUUAACAAGUCAACAUCAAUUUCUUUUGCUGUAAAAAAGCUUGAGGAAGGUGGCUUGAGAUUCGUCUUAAGUGUUUAUAGCCUCUUGCCUAUGCAGUCGGAGAGAUUGAGGUCUGCAGCGUAGAUCCUUCGGGGCUAAAUGCAUUCGUGCUAAGUUAUAAGCAUUUUAUAGACAACUUGUUGACUAUGAUUUGUCUUGUAGCUUACUCGCUUAUGUUAUUUUACCUACGCUUAGGAUGUUGAACGCGCACAGAGUCUC